GACGAACGCUGGCGGCAUGCCUAAUACAUGCAAGUCGAGCGAACAGAUGAAGUGCUUGCACUUCUGACGUUAGCGGCGAACGGGUGAGUAACACGUAAGGAAUCUACCUAUAAGCGGGGGAUAACAUUCGGAAACGGGUGCUAAUACCGGAUAAUAUUUUGAACCGCAUGGUUCAAUAGUGAAAGACGGUUUCGGCUGUCACUUAUAGAUGGACCCGCGCCGUAUUAGCUAGUUGGUAAGGUAACGGCUUACCAAGGCGACGAUACGUAGCCGACCUGAGAGGGUGAUCGGCCACACUGGAACUGAGACACGGUCCAGACUCCUACGGGAGGCAGCAGUAGGGAAUCUUCCGCAAUGGGCGAAAGCCUGACGGAGCAACGCCGCGUGAGUGAUGAAGUUCUUCGGAUCGUAAAACUCUGUUGUUAGGGAAGAACAAAUUUGUUAGUAACUGAACAAGUCUUGACGGUACCUAACCAGAAAGCCACGGCUAACUACGUGCCAGCCGCCGCCGUAA
Molecule: ribosomal RNA, 514 nt
Filed under: uncultured bacterium
Lineage: Bacteria
Description: partial 16S ribosomal RNA
Rfam family: Bacterial small subunit ribosomal RNA
Source: RNAcentral